RNAcentral lists this ribosomal RNA (327 nucleotides) under uncultured eukaryote. RNAcentral's name for it is "partial 18S ribosomal RNA". It matches the Rfam family "Eukaryotic small subunit ribosomal RNA", at positions 1470 to 1796 of the family's 1831-position model. The record is from RNAcentral.
CCCUUAGAUGUUCUGGGCCGCACACGCGCUACACUGAAGGAGGCAGCGUGUACUCCUGGAUCGAAAGAUUUGGGUAACCCGCGAAUCUCCUUCGUGCUAGGGAUUGAGGUUUGCAAUUAUCCUUCAUGAACGAGGAAUUCCCAGUAAGUGCAAGUCAUAAGCUUGCGCUGCCUACGUCCCUGCCCUUUGUACACACCGCCCGUCGCUACUACCGAUUGAAUGAUUUAGUGAGGACUUCGGACUGGGACCGAUGCGGCUUUCGGGCUGCGUCGGUAUUCUGGAAAGAUGUCCAAACUGUAUCAUUUAGAGGAAGUAAAAGUCGUAACA